RNAcentral lists this long non-coding RNA (340 nucleotides) under Elaeis guineensis (African oil palm). RNAcentral describes it as "long non-coding RNA (EGUI_LNC055393)". Lineage: Eukaryota; Viridiplantae; Streptophyta; Magnoliopsida; Arecales; Arecaceae. The record is from RNAcentral.
CCAUGACUUGAUUUGAUCAUGUUGAUUUCACCAAUCGAGAUAUUUGAUCAAUCGUAAUGUUGGAUUGUGUCACCUAAUCAAUUCAAAUUAUACCUCAUAAAUUUUCUCUCCUCUGAUUUUCUCUCUCCACUUGAUUUUAUAAAAUCGAUGAAGAAACCUCGAUCCUAUCACUUCGAAUCUGAUUUGAUUUGAUAGUCAAACUUUGGAUCAUUUAGGUCCUAAUUAGAUUUUGAUUAGAUAAAAUUAGAUGAUCGGACCCAAUCUAAACCGUUAAAAUAUGGUAUUCGUAUUCUUUCUAAUUAUUAAAAUUGAUUCUGUAUAGGAUUGUGAAUGUUUGAUC